CCAGACUCCUACGGGAGGCAGCAGUGAGGAAUAUUGGUCAAUGGGCGGGAGCCUGAACCAGCCAAGCCGCGUGAGGGAAGAAGGUACAGCGUAUCGUAAACCUCUUUUGUCAGGGAACAAAGGCGGGGACUAGUCCCCGGAUGAGGGUACCUGAAGAAAAAGCAUCGGCUAACUCCGUGCCAGCAGCCGCGGUAAUACGGAGGAUGCGAGCGUUAUCCGGAUUUAUUGGGUUUAAAGGGUGCGCAGGCGGAGGUGCAAGUCAGUGGUCAAAUUGCGGGGCUCAACCCCGUACUGCCGUUGAAACUGCAUCCCUUGAGUGCGCGAGAAGUAUGCGGAAUGCGUGGUGUAGCGGUGAAAUGCAUAGAUAUCACGCAGAACUCCGAUUGCGAAGGCAGCAUACCGGCGCGCAACUGACGCUCAUGCACGAAAGCGUGGGUAUCGAACAGGAUUAGAUACCCGCGUA
Molecule: ribosomal RNA, 463 nt
Filed under: uncultured bacterium
Lineage: Bacteria
Description: bacterial SSU rRNA
Rfam family: Bacterial small subunit ribosomal RNA
Source: RNAcentral